This 482-nucleotide ribosomal RNA is filed under the name uncultured bacterium. RNAcentral's name for it is "partial 16S ribosomal RNA". It matches the Rfam family "Bacterial small subunit ribosomal RNA", at positions 30 to 507 of the family's 1533-position model. The record is from RNAcentral.
AUUGAACGCUGGCGGCAUGCUUUACACAUGCAAGUCGAACGGUAACAGGCCGCAAGGUGCUGACGAGUGGCGCACGGGUGAGUAAUGCAUCGGAACGUGCCCAGUCGUGGGGGAUAACUACUCGAAAGAGUAGCUAAUACCGCAUACGAUCUAUGGAUGAAAGCGGGGGACCGUAAGGCCUCGCGCGAUUGGAUCGGCCGAUGUCAGAUUAGGUAGUUGGUGGGGUAAAGGCUCACCAAGCCAACGAUCUGUAGCUGGUCUGAGAGGACGACCAGCCACACUGGGACUGAGACACGGCCCAGACUCCUACGGGAGGCAGCAGUGGGGAAUUUUGGACAAUGGGCGCAAGCCUGAUCCAGCAAUGCCGCGUGCAGGAAGAAGGCCUUCGGGUUGUAAACUGCUUUUGUACGGAACGAAACGGCUCUGGUUAAUACCCGGGGCUAAUGACGGUACCGUAAGAAUAAGCACCGGCUAACUACGUG